AGAGUUUGAUCCUGGCUCAGGAUGAAUGCUGGCGGCGUGCCUAACACAUGCAAGUCGAGCGGCAGCGAAGGGUGCUUGCACCCUGUCGGCGAGCGGCGGACGGCUGAGUAACGCGUGGGAAUCUACCCUAAAGUGAGGGAUAACCGCCCGAAAGGGUGGCUAAUACCGCAUAUGAUCUUCGGAUUAAAGGAUUUAUCCGCUUUAGGAAGAGCCCGCGUUAGAUUAGGUAGUUGGUAGGGUAAUGGCCUACCAAGCCAACGAUCUAUAGCUGGUCUGAGAGGAUGAUCAGCCAGACUGGAACUGAGACACGGUCCAGACUCCUACGGGAGGCAGCAGUGAGGAAUCUUCCACAAUGGGCGAAAGCCUGAUGGAGCAACGCCGCGUGAAGGAUGAAGGCCUUCGGGUUGUAAACUUCUUUUAUGAGUGAAGAAUAUGACGGUAACUCAUGAAUAAGCACCGGCUAACUACGUGCCAGCAGCCGCGGUCAUACGUAGGGUGCAAGCAUUAUCCGGAGUGACUGGGCGUAAAGAGUUGCGUAGGCGGUUUAAUAAGUGAAUAGUGAAACCUGGUGGCUCAACCAUACAGACUAUUAUUCAAACUGUUAAACUCGAGAGUGGUAGAGGUAACUGGAAUUUCUAGUGUAGGAGUGAAAUCCGUAGAUAUUAGAAGGAACACCAAUGGCGUAGGCAGGUUACUGGACCAUUUCUGACGCUAAGGCACGAAAGCGUGGGGAGCGAACUGGAUUAGAUACCCCGGUAGUCCAA
This 764-nucleotide ribosomal RNA is filed under the name uncultured bacterium. Its description in RNAcentral is "bacterial SSU rRNA". It matches the Rfam family "Bacterial small subunit ribosomal RNA", at positions 8 to 798 of the family's 1533-position model. The record is from RNAcentral.